This 1310-nucleotide ribosomal RNA is filed under the name uncultured prokaryote. RNAcentral describes it as "partial 16S ribosomal RNA". It matches the Rfam family "Bacterial small subunit ribosomal RNA". The record is from RNAcentral.
GAGUUUGAUCCUGGCUCAGAUUGAACGCUGGCGGCAGGCCUAACACAUGCAAGUCGAACGGUAACAGGACGCUAGGAUUCCUUCGGGAUGAUGCUCUGGCUGACGAGUGGCGGACGGGUGAGUAACGCGUAGGAAUCUACCCAGUAGUGGGGGACAACUUGGGGAAACUCAAGCUAAUACCGCAUACGCCCUACGGGGGAAAGCGGGGGACCUUCGGGCCUCGUGCUAUUGGAUGAGCCUGCGUUAGAUUAGCUAGUUGGUAGGGUAAAGGCCUACCAAGGCUACGAUCUAUAGCUGGUCUGAGAGGAUGAUCAGCCACACUGGAACUGAGACACGGUCCAGACUCCUACGGGAGGCAGCAGUGGGGAAUAUUGCACAAUGGGCGCAAGCCUGAUGCAGCCAUGCCGCGUGUGUGAAGAAGGCUCUAGGGUUGUAAAGCACUUUAAGCAGGGAGGAAGGCCAGUUAGUUAAUAUCUGACUGGAUUGACGUUACCUGCAGAAUAAGCACCGGCUAACUCCGUGCCAGCAGCCGCGGUAAUACGGAGGGUGCAAGCGUUAAUCGGAAUUACUGGGCGUAAAGCGCGCGUAGGCGGUAUUGUAAGUGGGAUGUGAAAGCCCCAGGCUCAACCUGGGAACUGAGUAGACCGCCUGGGGAGUACGGCCGCAAGGUUAAAACUCAAAUGAAUUGACGGGGGCCCGCACAAGCGGUGGAGCAUGUGGUUUAAUUCGAUGCAACGCGAAGAACCUUACCAGGUCUUGACAUCCUCAGAACUUUCCAGAGAUGGAUUGGUGCCUUCGGGAACUGAGUGACAGGUGCUGCAUGGCUGUCGUCAGCUCGUGUCGUGAGAUGUUGGGUUAAGUCCCGUAACGAGCGCAACCCUUAUCCUUAUUUGCCAGCGUAAUGGUGGGGACUCAUGGGAGACUGCCGGGGACAACUCGGAGGAAGGCGAGGACGAUGUCAAGUCAUCAUGCCCCUUAUAUCCAGGGCUGCACGCAUGCUACAAUGGGCGGUACAGUGGGCCGCGAUCUCGCAAGAGUGAGCCAAUCCCUCAAAGCCGUCCCCAGUUCGGAUUGAAGUCUGCAACUCGACUUCAUGAAGCCGGAGUCGCUAGUAAUCGUGGAUCAGCAAUGCCACGGUGAAUACGUUCUCGGGGCUUGUACACACCGCCCGUCACAUCACGGAAGUCGGUAACACCCGAAGUCAGUGGCCUAACCCCUCGGGGAAGGAGCUGCCUAAGGUGGGAUUGGUAACUGGGAUGAAGUCGUAACAAGGUAGCCGUACGGGAACGUGCGGCUGGAUCACCUCCUUU